AUAUAUAUAUAUAUAUAUAUGCAUGCAGGCAAAGCAUGAAAUGAUGAAGUAGUUGCACACUGCACUGCCAGCGGAUCCAGAAACAGAGAGUGACUUGGGCGCUGCAUAUUAGCAGACUGAAGACGACGAACAGCGAACAGCGAACGGCGAACGGCAGACGUCGGAAGUCGGACGUCGGACGUCGGACAACAGACGAGAAAUGUCCUCACAAAUUGCGACUGUAAGAGUUGAGUUUAUGAUGCAUUUAUGCGGCCCUAGAAAUGCUCUCAACUGCAAAGCAAGGCGAAUACCAGAAGCAGCGACAGAAAACAACAACAGCAGCAGUAGCAGCAGCAGUAGCAGGAGCUGGGGCAGGAGGAGCAGCAGGAGCAGAAGCAUACCGAGGCGACUGCUGAAAGUGCAACAAAAAGCGCAUAAUAGUUGCAUACUUGAUGGCGCAUUCCCCGUUACUGUUAGCCAUCUUGACAAUCCCACUGCUUGGCCUGGCCAGCUCCUGCGCUCCUGCAACAGCAUUCCUGCCAUAAAUGUCAAAUGCUUCAAGCCUCAACUCAGCUCGCCAUAGGAUUCAAUUACAUUUGACAAUAAAGCAACUUGACUACUCUCAUACAAAUUAUGUUUUCAAACUUUUCCGUCAUUCAAUAUAAUAUUAUUUUUUUUGUUUUUGUA
Long non-coding RNA from Drosophila mojavensis, 666 nucleotides. RefSeq lists it as uncharacterized. NCBI's taxonomy places the organism in Eukaryota, Metazoa, Arthropoda, Insecta, Diptera, Drosophilidae. The transcript has 2 exons. The record is from RefSeq and is a predicted model, not a curated record.